GAGGAGGCAGUCAGCGUGACCCUGUAUUAGGUGUUGUCUCCUCUUGUUGUUGUCCUUUUACAUUUCCCCAUUCUGUCAGCAGCCUUUUCUUCCCUUACCUCAGUGAAAUGAGUCAGAAUGAGACGCUGGACGUUGACUCCCCAUCUGCACGCAACGCUUGUCCAUCUGUCAGCUCCCCAGACAGACACGAUGACAGAUGAAACACCGGCUGCAGCUCUCACCAGCGAAGACCUACAACUAUUUAGAGGAGGACGGCCACUUAAAGACGCUCCCAUGAUACCCUGAGGCUUUUCUGCCGGAAUCCACCUCUGACAGAUGUCGGUGGAAACACCGCAUUUUUCUGCCUCUUAAUGGAGGCUUGUGCUGGCAACGUGGAGUUGAUCUUUGGAGUGACCUUGGACGUGGGAAUUACCGCAGAGUUCAGAGCAUUCCAGUUUGUAAAGUCGGAAGAGAAGAUGAAAACCCGCAGGAUGAAAAGGAAAUGCAAAACUGGAAUGCACCAUGAGAGCUUGGCAAAUCAACUUUAGUAAUGCUGCGUCCAUCUUCUGCGGAAGUUGGAGUUCGAGUUCAAGGCAGGGAAAGAUGACGGGAAAAGCCAUCUUGGAUUGUGAACUCCGGGUGGUAAGAAGUCUCCAACCUUCCGACCGGGAAAUCACAUUGGACGUCACAUGGAGAAACCCUUUUUUCUGGACAAUGAACACACAGACCUGGUCAAAGUUGAACUUUUUAAUGGCACCAGUAACAGGGGUAAUGACGUCAGAACAAAAACAACCACGACUUUAAUGAAG
Synchiropus splendidus (mandarinfish) is the source of this 788-nucleotide long non-coding RNA. RefSeq lists it as uncharacterized. The transcript is spliced from 4 exons. The record is from RefSeq and is a predicted model, not a curated record. NCBI's taxonomy places the organism in Eukaryota, Metazoa, Chordata, Actinopteri, Syngnathiformes, Callionymidae.